RNAcentral lists this ribosomal RNA (577 nucleotides) under uncultured archaeon. RNAcentral describes it as "bacterial SSU rRNA". It matches the Rfam family "Archaeal small subunit ribosomal RNA", at positions 280 to 859 of the family's 1478-position model. The record is from RNAcentral.
GAGGAGGAGCCCGGAGAUGGGCACUGAGACAAGGGCCCAGGCCUUAUGGGGCGCAGCAGGCGAGAAAUCUCUGCAAUAGGCGAAAGCUUGACAGGGUUACUCUGAGUGAUUCCCGCUAAGGGGAUCUUUUGGCACCUUUAAAAAUGGUGCAGAAUAAGGGGUGGGCAAGUCUGGUGUCAGCCGCCGCGGUAAUACCAGCACCCCGAGUGGUCGGGACGAUUAUUGGGCCUAAAGCAUCCGUAGCCGGUACUGCAAGUCUUCCGUUAAAUCCACCUGCUUAACAGUUGGGCUGCGGGGGAUACUACAGCGCUAGGAGGCGGGAGAGGCAAGCGGUACUCAAUGGGUAGGGGUAAAAUCCGCUGAUCCAUUGAAGACCACCAGUGGCGAAGGCGGCUUGCCAGAACGCGCUCGACGGUGAGGGAUGAAAGCUGGGGGAGCAAACCGGAUUAGAUACCCGGGUAGUCCCAGCUGUAAACGAUGCAGACUCGGUGAUGGGCUGGCCUUGUGCCAGCCCAGUGCCGCAGGGAAGCCGUUAAGUCUGCCGCCUGGGGAGUACGGUCGCAAGACUGAAACUUAA